UCCCUGGGAGGUCAAGAUUCGUCUGGUUC
Molecule: non-coding RNA, 29 nt
Filed under: Homo sapiens (human)
Lineage: Eukaryota; Metazoa; Chordata; Mammalia; Primates; Hominidae
Source: RNAcentral